GGCUCUUUGGCGGAACUGGUAGACGCAGUGGACUCAAAAUCCACCGCCUUCACGGGCGUCCGAGUUCGACUCUCGGAGGAGCCA
This 84-nucleotide transfer RNA is filed under the name Pseudomonadota bacterium. RNAcentral describes it as "Proteobacteria bacterium (wastewater metagenome) tRNA-Leu". It matches the Rfam family "tRNA". From Rfam's summary of the family: Transfer RNA (tRNA) molecules are approximately 80 nucleotides in length. The record is from RNAcentral. Lineage: Bacteria; Pseudomonadati; Pseudomonadota.